GUGACGGCAAUGGAGGAGGCGAGGCUACCUGAGUGUUUGUGUUUGUCCUGGUUGGAGGGAGAGAGAAUGCGGCUUUAAUUUCAGGAGCAAGGACAUGAGUGCCAGAUUCCCCUUACUUCAUGGUAUCGCUGCGUUAGCUUUCUGCAAGAGGCACGGCUAUCAACCAACUGUUGUCAUCGGCAUUUCGCCUACCUAACCAAAGGUAUCCAAUAUUUUCUACAAAGUUUAUUACCAGAGCAUUUCAAUCAUGUCUGGAAUACAGUUUUUCCUAUUCUGGGAAUUCCUACUGAAUACUUUGUGGCUUCAUUUAGUGUUACGGCGAUAAUCCAUUUGUGGGACAGCUACAAAAUACCAAAGACGCAGGGAUACCUGAUGACAAUCUUAUGCCUCAUAGCUACAACCGAGAUCAACUACAGCACCGAGCAGAUUACAGGCUGAGUAUCAAGAUCUUGAAGAUAACAAGACAGGUUUUAGCUGGUGUGUAGUGUGCAUUUACAGCAGCUUGCACUGAAGUUUUAGUUUGUAUGGACUGUACACAUAUAGGAGCUGUUAUUGAAAGAUUUUAAUUGUUGUAUAAUGUACAUGUAAAAAUAUUGAAAUUCCUAAUUCCUGGUUCUGCUAGCACAAACCAUGAUUGGAAUUCAUUGCUUGGUUUUUUAAAAAAUUCCAUCAUUUUUCAUUGAAAGCUCUGUGGUGGAACAGAUGUUAAAAUUCUGUGUCACAGUUUUCUUAAUUUCCUAAGAUUGCUGUUCCAUGUAUUUGAUCUUGUAUUUUUCCUCAAUGAUGAGGCUCUUACAUCUCUGAUCAGCCAUUCGCUCGAACAACUCACAAACUACUACUCUCCACUCCUUGAUGCACAGCAUCAGAGUUAAUGAAGGGCUCCACAACAACUUGCAUUUAUAUAGUGCCUUUAACACUUUAAAAUGUCCCAAGGCACUUCAGUGGAACAUGAUCAAACAAAAUUUGACACCAAGCCACACAAGAAGCUAUUAGGGUAGAUGACUAAAAGCUUGAUGAAAGAGCUAGAUUUUAAGAAGUGUCUUAGAGAGGUUUAGGGAGGCAAACAGCUGAAGUUGAUUACUGGGUUGAAUUUGAAUGAAUUAGCAGAUUUCAUUGUUCAAGAUUCACUUGUGGAGUUUUAAAUUAAUCAGCGAAGCUGACUAAGAUUUUCCAACAUUUUUGUUUUUGAUUUGAAUUAAACAACAAAUGUGCAAUACAUUGUUUCCAUUCAAAUGAAUCAACUUUGAAUUGAGAGUACACUAUAGCACACAGUAUAGUGUUUAGGAUAGGAUGUUUAUGAAUCUUCAUGAGUGACAAUCUUGUUGAAGUCUUUGUCUGCAGAAUGAACCUACUAUUGAAACACCACAUAUAUAAUUUUCUACCUCAUAUGGUUGUGAAAAUAAUCUCUGCUGUUAGUAUAAACUCAAUUCACUUUUACAGAAAUAGAUGAAAAAUUAUAAUUCUUUAGAAGAUAUGAAUUAGUCUUUUAUUGAAGGAUACAGAAACUUUUGAGUGCAUCAAAGCAAUCUAAUCCUAGGAGUUGCGAACACCAUCAUUAAAAUGGUACCAGAAAUGUCCAUAGCAUUCUGGCAUUGUGCUUUCUUGAGUUAGUGAAUGCAUUGCCAUACAAUGUGGGCUCAGCUAGAAUAGGACAGAAAUACUCUAAAAGGCUAAGCUACCCAUUGUUGCAGAAGCAUAUUCCCUGUCUCAGAUACAUAAUUAUGUAUUCUGUAGGAGGGGUAAUAAAUAACAUAAAUUUGGGGAGGAAAUAAAUAAGUACCUUCUCUUCGGCUUGUUAGGUUCAUGCUUGUGCGAACGGUUAGAGGAGCUUUUUUUGGGGGGAAAAAAUUUCCACUGUAGUCCCCUGAAUGACCUAGAGGUAGGUUUGCACCCGUAUAGGCUGGAAGAUCCCAGGUUUGAGCUACUUGAUUUCAACCAGGGCGACAAUUGAAAUGCUGCACAUUGCUUCAGUGCUACAUGUUGUUUGGGGGCUGGGGGAGAGAGAAAAGGAAAACCACACUCAGCUGUAAUACCACCCAUGAAUAGUCAACUUGCUCUAGCUGGAUGAAUACCUGAAGGCUGCUAGUGCCUUUGGAAUUAUAGUCCAGGAAGCGUCCAAGCCUUUAGGAGAGGCCGGGAGAAUAGGAUGUAACAUUUUCAAUUUAAAGCUAAUUUGUAAAUUCAUAGCAAAUUUAAAUUUCCAGGAGAAACAAAUUUCUAAAUUGUUUCUCAUAGCCUGUGGCACUGUACUUUGCCCUCGACACGGGCACAAUGGAGGAAGGUUAGACUCUGUUCCAGUUUGGAAGUUUUAAGUAUUAUCUUCCCGUUAUAGCUUACCGUAGAUUCGUUCAUGAACCAGGAACUUUCUUAAUCUGUAUGACUCAGUAUCAUAGUCUUCCCCUGGUCCAUUAAAGCAGCACUUGUAUUAAUAACAAAUGUGUUAGGUAAACUUAAAUGAUGGAUUAUCUCAUAUUUGGAGAUUUGUAUAAACCAGUGAAUUGAUGUUAAAUACCUGUGAUUGUGUUUGAUGUUUUUAAAACAUAAUCGGUUUUUUAUUGGGUUUGUUUCUGAUUUAUAUCAAGUUACUUUUAGUUCCUGAUUGGCGCUAAAGUCUCAGGAUCAGACAUUAUAACUGUGUGCGCUUUUUGUUUUAAUCUUUUAUAGGAGCUUUAUUUUUUUUAACUUCAGAAACUUGCAGAUACGGAAUCGUGCGAUCCCAAUUUUAAACUCUAAUAGUGUGUGAUCAUGUAGAUUUGCUUCUCUGAAACAGCAUUAACAAGGGUAUAAAGAAUGUAAAAUGGCAGCAGAAAUGUAGUGUUUGUUAGUCAGUAGUUGAUAGCUGCAAUUAUGCUGUAAUAGGCAAGUUUAUUUUCAUAGCAGUGACCAAUGAAAUGCAAUUUGCUUAAUUUUUCCUGAGAGUUGCAUUUUAUUUUUGCCCAUUAUUGGAAAGACAAUACAAGUCAAAGACUAGCAGUUAAAUGCUCUAAAAGCAAAGAUUAAACUAUUUUAAGCAACUUAAGGUGAAGAGAAAAGCACAAUUCUGAAUGUAUUCUAAAUGUACAUAUAUCAUUUCAAUCCCUAAGAAAACAGAUUUUCUGUGAAUGGAAAGGUCAUUGUGUUUGGUUAUACAUGUUAGUGUUUAGCCAAAGUCUUGGAACAAUGGGAUAGAAAUUAAACUUCAUUUGUCAAUUUUACUGGGAUAAAACGGGUGCCCUGAAGCCCAAUCCUUUGGACUUCCCAAGGACGUCUGAAAAAUGUCUGACCCAAAAAUUGGGCUAGUUUAUGAAACAAGGGUUUAGAUCCAUUAUCCAUGUAAAUUAGAGUCUUGAUCUCUGUUUCAGGCCCUCUCACCGAAAUUGGGCUGCAAUGACUGAAGUCAGACUUGUUAUUUAUAAAUAAAUUAUUUUGCUGGGCACAAAUUCUGGAUGAUUGGUCGUUUAUAAGAUGGCAUGUUACAGUAAACAUUGUGUUACUGCAAACAGAAAAUAAUGGUGUAAUGUGCUAGUUUUUGCAUUAAUAAAUAUUUGUGGAUUUUUCAUUGCUGUGUUCAGGGAAAGUAAUGUAAAGUUAAUUUUGUUCAAAUAAAGAUUUGUGCAUUUUU
Molecule: RNA transcript, 3601 nt
Organism: Carcharodon carcharias (great white shark)
Lineage: Eukaryota; Metazoa; Chordata; Chondrichthyes; Lamniformes; Lamnidae
Gene: myorg
Gene name: myogenesis regulating glycosidase (putative)
Exons: 4
Source: RefSeq, a predicted model, not a curated record